GGCAGUUCUCAGGUGAUGCACCCUGGAAUUUGGCUUCCUCCUCUGGUUCUAGAGUGCAUACCUGAGAUCCGCU
This is a microRNA precursor of Myotis lucifugus (little brown bat), 73 nucleotides long. It matches the Rfam family "mir-9223 microRNA precursor family". Lineage: Eukaryota; Metazoa; Chordata; Mammalia; Chiroptera; Vespertilionidae. The record is from Rfam.